This 117-nucleotide ribosomal RNA is filed under the name Acidobacteriota bacterium. Lineage: Bacteria; Pseudomonadati; Acidobacteriota. The record is from RNAcentral.
CUCGGUGACCAUACCGCGGGGGCCACACCCGUUCCCAUCCCGAACACGGUCGUUAAGCCCCGCAGGGCCAAUGCUACUGCUCGGUUCGCUGAGUGGGAAAGUAGGUCGUCGCCGGGU